RNAcentral lists this unclassified non-coding RNA (3386 nucleotides) under Hevea brasiliensis (rubber tree). The record is from RNAcentral. Lineage: Eukaryota; Viridiplantae; Streptophyta; Magnoliopsida; Malpighiales; Euphorbiaceae.
AGAGUUGAUGUUUCAAUAUAUGAUCUUGUUGUUGGAGAUGUUGUUCCCCUCAAUAUUGGUGACCAAGUACCUGCUGAUGGAAUUUUAAUUAUUGGUCACUCUCUUGCAAUUGAUGAAUCUAGCAUGACUGGAGAAAGCAAGAUUGUUCACAAGAAUUCCCGGGAACCAUUUCUAAUGUCGGGCUGUAAAGUGGCUGAUGGUAGUGGCACUAUGUUGGUGACGAGUGUUGGGAUUAACACUGAAUGGGGGUUGCUUAUGGCUAGUAUAUCAGAAGACACUGGUGAAGAAACACCAUUGCAGGUGCGCUUAAAUGGAGUUGCUACUUUUAUUGGUAUUGUUGGACUGACGGUAGCUUUUCUUGUCUUGGUUGUACUUUUGGUCAGAUUCUUUACUGGCCAUACCAAGGAUGCAAAUGGACGACCUCAGUUUAAAGCGGGUAAAACUAGUGUUGGUGAUGCAGUAGAUGGAGCCAUUAAAAUUCUUACUGUUGCGGUAUGUGCCCCCCUUGUUUGAUGCUCUCUCUUUGUUCAUUUUUGUGGUCAACUGAUGUUUAAAGUUUUUAGGUUACCAUCGUUGUAGUUGCAGUGCCUGAAGGGCUUCCUUUAGCUGUUACCUUAACGUAAGUUUCUUUUCAUAUAAAAGGUCUUUUAUAUAUUGUUCAUUUUUUUUGUGUAAACAUCAAAAUUCUGUUCCAUUAUCACUUGCGGUGCUGUGGGAUAUUGGUUUUUGUAGCAGAUUAACUUCCACCUUUCCUUUUAUAUGGCAAAUGAUGCUAAUUGACUUUUGAAUUUGCUGCUUCCAUUGUGAUAUUUUUCGGAUUUUAUCUACUUGUUUGCAUUUUCUAAAAUUUUCUUUAUGACAGUCUUGCCUAUUCUAUGAGAAAAAUGAUGGCAGAUAGGGCCUUGGUGCGUAGACUUUCUGCCUGUGAAACCAUGGGUUCUGCAACAACCAUUUGCAGUGACAAGACUGGUACUUUAACCCUGAAUCAGAUGACUGUUGUUGCUGCUUAUGCUGGUAGCAAAAAAAUUGAUCCUCCAGAAAAGAAGUCCCAAUUGUCUCCUAAGCUGUCCUCUUUACUUAUUGAAGGCGUUGCACAGAAUACAAAUGGCAGUGUUUUUAUCCCUGAGGGUGGAGGAGACGUAGAGGUUUCUGGAUCACCAACAGAGAAAGCCAUUCUUGUUUGGGGAGUUAAGCUGGGCAUGAAUUUUGAUGCUGUUCGAUCAGAAUCAACUGUUAUUCAUGUUUUCCCAUUCAACUCACAGAAAAAAAGAGGCGGUGUGGCACUACAACUGCCUGACUCUGAAGUCCAUAUACACUGGAAGGGGGCUGCUGAAAUAGUCUUAGCCUCAUGUACAGCUUACUUUGGUGAAAAUGAUAACAUCGAACCAAUGGAUGAUGAAAAGGCUUUAUUUUUCAAGAAAGCUAUUGAAGAUAUGGCAGCCGGCAGUUUGCGCUGUAUUGCUAUUGCGUAUCGAUCUUAUGAGAUCGAUAAAGUUCCAGUCGGUGAACAAGAGCUGAGUCAAUGGGCAUUACCUGAGGAUGAUCUUGUUUUGCUAGCUAUUAUUGGCUUAAAGGACCCAUGUCGACCAGGUGUCAAAGAAGUAGUGCGAUUGUGUCAAAAUGCUGGUGUUAAGGUGCGCAUGGUCACUGGUGACAAUCUUCAAACUGCUAAAGCAAUUGCUUUGGAAUGUGGGAUACUAAGUUCAGACGAAAAUGCUAUGGAACCAUAUCUUAUUGAAGGAAGAGUAUUUCGUCGCUACUCAGAGGAAGAAAGAAAAGCAAUUGCUGAGGACAUCUUAGUAUGGGAAAUUUGUUUGGAUGUCUUUUUCUUUUUCUUGUUUCUUUGCACUCAUUAAUUAUGUCUAUCAAACGUCAAAUUAACUUGAAACAUUUAGUUCCACCUUUCAAUGUAAAGGUGAUGGGACGGUCUUCUCCAAAUGACAAACUUCUACUUGUUCAAGCAUUGAAAAAGAGGAAACAUGUUGUCGCUGUAACUGGAGAUGGCACAAAUGAUGCUUCUGCAUUACAUGAGGUUUGACUGUGUUUUAUGAUUGUUGUUAAAAUUGCUUCAUGCAAUUCAAGUUUUAGUCUCAGAAUGAUAGUUUGGAUGAAUGAAAAAACAGGUGAGCACGUAAGAUGACAUGAAGUAAUGAAAAAGGACUUAGCUCCCUGGACACUUAUAAAAUUGUAGACCUAAACAGGCAGGGUGGAGUGGAGGAAAGAGAUUCUUAUAGUUGACUGUGACCCCAACUAGUUGAGAUUAAGGUUUCGUUGAGUUGAGUUAAUGAUUGUUUGGAGCAAGUUGGUUGGAUAAUUGUGAAUUCUGUGAAUGAAUAUCUAAAGGUGCAUCCAGAUGUUUGGAUUCACUUUCUGAUGCAUUCCACCUAUCUGGUAUUGUAAGAAACAAAUGCUUAAAUGAUUUUUUAUGUUCUUGAGCAUUUUAGUUUGUGAAUUGAAACAUUAAUUUCUACUACACCUUUAGUUGCACAAUAGUGGCUUGUUACUUAUCCUUAUAUUCAGGAUUGCACAUGCUACUUAUUUUCCUAAAUUGCUGUUUGUGUUUGAUUUAUUUUUUAAUUUUCGGUUGUGGUAUUUAGGCAGAUGUUGGUCUUUCAAUGGGUAUUCAAGGUACAGAAGUUGCUAAAGAGAGUUCUGAUAUUGUAAUUCUGGAUGACAACUUUGCUUCAGUUGUGAAGGUUGUCCGAUGGGGUAGAUCUGUAUAUGCAAAUAUUCAGAAGUUCAUCCAGUUUCAACUUUCAGUUAAUGUUGCAACCAUCAUUAUAAAUAUUGUGGCUGCAAUUUUUUCUGGUGAGGUCCCAUUGAAUACUGUACAGCUUCUUUGGGUUAAUCUUAUUAUGGACACUCUUGGGGCAUUGGCAUUGGCUACUGAGCCACCUACAGAUCACCUGAUGCACAAGCCCCCUGUUGGUCGCAGGUGAGAAAUUUUAUGAUGGUUGGCACGUUGGUGGACAGUGAUAUAAAUGUUGUGUUGAUGGUUGGCACCUUGGUAAGCUAGUGUUAUUCUAUUCAAGGAAACAGAUGCAUUCAAGUCCUAUUAGGAAGAACUAAAAGUGGAUGUAGAAAAAUCUAGUUCAUUCCAUCUGUAAAAUCAUUCAUACUGGGAGUUGGAAGCCCUUUCUGAUUCCUUCCCCAAACCCCAAACCCCCCUUUUCUUUUCUUUUCUUGGAUAUAAAAGGGGCACUGAAGUAGGGCCCAAAGAAAGCAACAAACAUAUGAAAAUGGUUUGUCCACCUCCAUCACCACUAGUGUCAGGCACUAGCAAUCUAAGAAUAGAGUUUAUCAAACACUUUCACUCCCAAAUGAAAUGGAAGAUCAAUAGUAAUGAAUCAGCAGUAAAGUCCCUUCACUCUUCCUCCACACCACCA